Molecule: long non-coding RNA, 895 nt
Filed under: Homo sapiens (human)
Lineage: Eukaryota; Metazoa; Chordata; Mammalia; Primates; Hominidae
Description: HSALNT0405870
Source: RNAcentral
GAGGAAACAGGGCCAGAGAAUUGGAACAAAAUACAAGGCUGCCUCUGAAAGGAAUAUCUUUGUGCUGAUGUGUCCAUCAAGAGAACAUACACAGAAGUGACACUUGCCAGUAAUUUGCAAGCAGAUGGAACUUCAAUAUGGCAAUAGAGAAAGAAUCAAUUAGACCAGAGUCUCCUCAGGAAGACUUUCUAUAGGUGGACGGUCCCCUGGAGAGCCCGCUGUGUUGGAAGAUGUAGAAUAUUCAUAUAUCUGGUGAGCAUCUGCUAGAUGCCAGGGUUGGGGAGAGUCAAGUUGAAGCAAGCAUGAACCCUCAAGGACCUACCAUUUCAAGGCAAGAAAUAGAUACAAAUACAGAAAAUAUUUACUGGAUAGCUACUAGACAUAAGGAUGCAGAAAUGAAUUAGAAAAAUUCCUCGCCCUUGUUCAAAGCUAUGCUGGCUCUUAGAACAUCUGAGCCCCCACUGUUUCAUCUUUAGAGGAUCCCAGCUGCUGGGGUGUGAGGCCAGUGCUGGAGCCAGCAGUCUCUGACCCAGAAGGGACCUGAGGUGCUAAAGAAAAGGGUACAAGCUGGAAAAGGGGAAAAUGAAUCAUGCUACAGGCCAAGUGUCCAUCACUGAUUCCCAGAGAUGCCCUUUGUGUGGUAGGCACUUCCAUGUGGACUCGCUACAGAGGUCAUAAGACCCUAAUUCCAGAGGGCCCUACCCUAUAACCAGAAGGAAGAACUAUUGCACAGAGAAUCUAAGAAGAAUCUAGACAGACAGCCCUUGCUGGAUUUCUCCACUCUGUUAGCAUUCGAUCAUUUGCCUUUUGUCCAGUCAUAUUUCUGCAUGGCUGUCCAUACUUUGUUGAACCUAAGCACAAAAUGGAAAGUUUUCCCUGUAUCUUUGGGUCGUCA